RNAcentral lists this ribosomal RNA (207 nucleotides) under uncultured bacterium. RNAcentral's name for it is "partial 16S ribosomal RNA". It matches the Rfam family "Bacterial small subunit ribosomal RNA", at positions 568 to 774 of the family's 1533-position model. The record is from RNAcentral.
CGCGUAGGUGGUUAUGUAAGUUAGAUGUGAAAGCCCUCGGCUCAACCGAGGAACUGCAUUUAAUACUGCAAAACUAGAGUGUAAGAGGGAGAGACGGAAUGGCGAGUGGAGCAGUGAAAUGCGUUGAUAUUCGUUGGAACACCGGUGGCGAAGGCGGUCUCUUGGCUUACUACUGACGCUAAGGCGCGAAAGCGUGGGGAGCAAACA